GACAGAGGGUGCAAACGUUGCUCGGAAUCACUGGGCGUACAGGGCGUGUAGGCGGGAAGGAUAGUCAGAUGUGAAAUCCCUGGGCUCAACCCAGGAACUGCAUUUGAAACUCCCUUUCUUGAGUGUCGGAGAGGAAAGCGGAAUUCCUGGUGUAGAGGUGAAAUUCGUAGAUAUCAGGAGGAACACCGGUGGCGAAGGCGGCUUUCUGGACGACAACUGACGCUGAGACGCGAAAGCGUGGGGAGCAAACAGG
This 253-nucleotide ribosomal RNA is filed under the name uncultured bacterium. Its description in RNAcentral is "partial 16S ribosomal RNA". It matches the Rfam family "Bacterial small subunit ribosomal RNA", at positions 524 to 776 of the family's 1533-position model. The record is from RNAcentral.